GUCGAGAAUUUUUCACAAUGGGGGAAACCCUGAUGGAGCGACGCCGCGUGGGGGAUGAAUGGCUUCGGCCCGUAAACCCCUGUCAUUUGUGACCAAACCUUUUGACCCAACACGUCAAAAGCUGAUGGUAGCGAAAGAGGAAGGGACGGCUAACUCUGUGCCAGCAGCCGCGGUAAUACAGAGGUCCCAAGCGUUGUUCGGAUUCACUGGGCGUAAAGGGUGCGUAGGUGGCAGGGCAAGUCUGGCGUGAAAUCUCCGAGCUCAACUCGGAAAUGGCGUUGGAAACUGCUUUGCUUGAGGGUUGGAGGGGGGACUGGAAUACUUGGUGUAGCAGUGAAAUGCGUAGAUAUCAAGUGGAACACCAGUGGCGAAGGCGAGUCCCUGGACAACUCCUGACACUGAGGCACGAAAGCUAGGGGAGCAAACGGGAUUAGAAACCCCUGUAGUCC
RNAcentral lists this ribosomal RNA (449 nucleotides) under uncultured bacterium. RNAcentral's name for it is "bacterial SSU rRNA". It matches the Rfam family "Bacterial small subunit ribosomal RNA", at positions 354 to 796 of the family's 1533-position model. The record is from RNAcentral.